RNAcentral lists this ribosomal RNA (525 nucleotides) under Dythemis multipunctata. Its description in RNAcentral is "partial 16S ribosomal RNA". It matches the Rfam family "Bacterial large subunit ribosomal RNA", at positions 1808 to 2609 of the family's 2925-position model. Lineage: Eukaryota; Metazoa; Arthropoda; Insecta; Odonata; Libellulidae. The record is from RNAcentral.
CAAAAACAUGUCCUUUAGAAUUUAAUUUAAGGUCUGGCCUGCCCAGUGAUUAAUUUAACGGCCGCGGUAAAUUGACCGUGCAAAGGUAGCAUAAUCAUUAGUCUUUUAAUAGAGGGCUGGUAUGAAAGGUUUGACGAAGAAUUUUCUGUCUCAUUUUAUAUGUUGUAAAAUUUUAUUUUUUAGUCAAAAAGCUAAAAUUAUAUUGGAAGACGAGAAGACCCUAUAGAUCUUUAUAAAUAAUUAUUUAUUUAAUUUUAUAUAAAUAUUGUUAUUUAAUUAUUUAUUUUGUUGGGGUGACAAAAAUAUAUAAUUAACUUUUUUAUUAACUUUACAUUGAUUUAUGAAUAGUAGAUCCAUUAUUAUUGAUUGCUAGAACAAGUUACCUUAGGGAUAACAGCGUAAUCCUUCUCCAGAGUUCAUAUUUACAGAAGGGCUUGCGACCUCGAUGUUGGAUUAAGAUAAUAAUUAGGUGCAGCCACUUAAUUUAUAGGUCUGUUCGACCUUUAAAAUCUUACAUGAUCUGAU